Molecule: ribosomal RNA, 495 nt
Filed under: uncultured bacterium
Lineage: Bacteria
Description: partial 16S ribosomal RNA
Rfam family: Bacterial small subunit ribosomal RNA
Source: RNAcentral
GAUGAACGCUAGCGGGAGGCCUAACACAUGCAAGCCGAGCGGUAUUGCUUCUUCGGAAAUGAGAGAGCGGCGUACGGGUGCGUAACACGUGUGCAACCUGCCUUUAUCUGGGGGAUAGCCUUGCGAAAGGAAGAUUAAUACUCCAUAAUAUAUUGAACGGCAUCGUUUAAUAUUGAAAGCUCCGGCGGAUAGAGAUGGGCACUCGAAAGAUUAGCUAGUUGGUGAGGUAACGGCUCACCAAGGCGAUGAUCUUUAGUGGGCCUGAGAGGGUGAUCCCCCACACUGGUACUGAGACACGGACCAGACUCCUACGGGAGGCAGCAGUGAGGAAUAUUGGUCAAUGGGUGCAAGCCUGAACCAGCCAUCCCGCGUGAAGGACGACUGCCCUAUGGGUUGUAAACUUCUUUUGUAUAGGGAUAAACCUACCCUCGUGAGGGUAGCUGAAGGUACUAUACGAAUAAGCACCGGCUAACUCCGUGCCAGCCGCCGCGGUAA